RNAcentral lists this transfer RNA (66 nucleotides) under Katharina tunicata (black chiton). RNAcentral describes it as "tRNA-Glu". Lineage: Eukaryota; Metazoa; Mollusca; Polyplacophora; Chitonida; Mopaliidae. The record is from RNAcentral.
AGAUAAGUAGUGUUAAAUAGCACAUCUAAUUUUCAUUUAGAAAGAAUAAAUAUAAAUAUCUAUCUG